This 407-nucleotide ribosomal RNA is filed under the name Camaenidae sp. SN1. RNAcentral describes it as "partial 16S ribosomal RNA". The stretch from base 1 to 192 matches the Rfam family "Archaeal large subunit ribosomal RNA", at positions 1903 to 2146 of the family's 2987-position model. Lineage: Eukaryota; Metazoa; Mollusca; Gastropoda; Stylommatophora; Camaenidae. The record is from RNAcentral.
CAAAAACAUAGCUAUAUGAAUUGAUAUAUAGUAUUUUCUGCUCAAUGAAUAAUUAAAUAGCCGCAGUACCCUGACUGUGCUAAGGUAGCGCAAUCAAUUGACUUUUGAAUGAAGUCCUGUAUGAAAGAAAACAUGAAGGGCUACUUUUUUAUUUAUAAUAAAUGAAUUUACUUAAGAAGUGCAAAUUCUUCUUAAUAAAUAAUAGACGAGAAGACCCUAGAAAUUUUGAGAGGGACUUUUUGUUGGGGCAACAAAGUAGUAUAAUAAAUCUACUAUUAAAACAAGRAAAGUAUAUUUGGAAAGGAUAAAUUACUCUAGGGAUAACAGCAUAAUUUGGAAAAGUUUGUGACCUCGAUGUUGGAUUAGGGAAUUUACGUUUAGAAGAUAAAUUAUAAGCUCUGUUCGAG